Molecule: ribosomal RNA, 757 nt
Filed under: uncultured bacterium
Lineage: Bacteria
Description: bacterial SSU rRNA
Rfam family: Bacterial small subunit ribosomal RNA
Source: RNAcentral
AUUGAACGCUCUCGGCAUGCUUUACACAUGCAAGUCGAACGGCAGCACAGGGAGCUUGCUCCCGGGUGGCGAGUGGCGCACGGGUGAGUAAUACAUCGGAACGUGUCCUGUUGUGGGGGAUAACUGCUCGAAAGGGUGGCUAAUACCGCAUGAGACCUGAGGGCGAAAGCGGGGGAUCGCAAGACCUCGCGCAAUUGGAGCGGCCGAUGCCCGAUUAGCUAGUUGGUGAGGUAAAGGCUCACCAAGGCGACGAUCGGUAGCUGGUCUGAGAGGACGACCAGUCACACUGGGACUGAGACACGGCCCAGACUCUUACGGGAGGCAGCAGUGGGGAAUUUUGGACAAUGGGGGCAACCCUGAUCCAGCCAUGCCGCGUGCAGGAUGAAGGCCUUCGGGUUGUAAACUGCUUUUGUCAGGGACGAAAAGGACCGUGUUAAUACCAUGGUCUGCUGACGGUACCUGAAGAAUAAGCACCGGCUAACUACGUGCCAGCAGCCGCGGUAAUACGUAGGGUGCAAGCGUUAAUCGGAAUUACUGGGCGUAAAGCGUGUGCAGGCGGUUCUGUAAGACAGAUGUGAAAUCCCCGGGCUCAACCUGGGAAUUGCAUUUGUGACUGCAGGACUAGAGUUCAUCAGAGGGGGGUGGAAUUCCAAGUGUAGCAGUGAAAUGCGUAGAUAUUUGGAAGAACACCAAUGGCGAAGGCAGCCCCCUGGGAUGCGACUGACGCUCAUGCACGAAAGCGUGNGGAGCAAACAGG